GGCGGAGCCCUCGGUGCGGGCGCCGUCGAGGAAACACGGUCUCCCGUUCCGGGGAAGGAGAGCUGAUUAGAGGAGAGGCUAAGGAUGGACGGGAUUUGUUUGCGGUGCUGAAGGCGCGUGUGUUUGAUUCGCCUGGUAGGGAUCAUGAAGUUCCUCCAUCUUGCAAAAAUGGGCAGAGACACACUAAGGCUGAAUGGCGUCACCACGUUCGUAGUGCAGAAUUAUCAGGUGUGUCUGUUCCUGGACUUGGGUACAGUGUGGGAGGGUGAAAUGAGCAGAGGUGUGAGGGCAGGGAAAGGGAGAGACAAGGAAAAGAUGAGAGAAAAGAGAAAGAGGGCUGUGAGCACCCAUUGCUCUGCAGCAUUACACAGGCUGCAGCCACAGUUGAGUUUUCCCAGGACUCAUCAAGUCACACAGAUGUUGAACUGAAUCACUGGCACAUAUCUAGAUGGGAGGUAUGAGCCAUGUAACAGUUAAAAUAAAACAAAUAAAGAGUUAAAAUGCAGCUCUGCUCGGUUCUGUUGAUCAUGCAGAAGUUGUUUCUCUAAGACCCUCCCUCGUUUCCUGGGAGAAUCAAAUGCAAAUAAUGUUGAUUAACCUCAAGGUGUUGUAUGUUCAGUGCAUGUGAAUUUUUUUUUGAAAAGCUUAGUGCUUUGGGAAAUCAGAGUCAGUAGACUUAAAACUUCUAAUUAAACAACAACAAAAAAUUAUUCACUUGGCUUUUCUGUAUAUAGGUGAAUGCUUAUAGAUAUAAAACGAGUUUAAUGUGUAGGUGGACGACCUUUAGCAUACACCAUCAGACUCCAGUGCCUUGAGCAUGUGUAUGGAAAUCUGAUGAUAGCUGAAUAAAAAUAGCUGUAUAUUCAGUAUGGAUGAAACAAAGUCUUCAAGGGUGGGGAGGAAGGCAAAGAAGGUGAAGAGAAAAAUAUAAUGUUUCUUGAAAAUGACAGGCUGUUCUAGCAGGAACUUCCAGCUGAAAUACUGGCCUGAGGCGCUUGUCGAGCAUGGGCUAUUACACUCUAACCAGUUUAGCUUUUGCAAAACUAUCAUCAACAGCAAGCACUGAGAAGUGUCAGUCAGUAUUAGCCACAGGGAGCACUGAGUGCUCCAGCUGAAACCUUGCACUCUCAUCCUGGUGUGCAGGGGUGGCACACCAAACAUGCCCCUUGAACAGCUCCUUUACACACAGGGUAGAGAGAUGGAAAUGGACAAACUGCCUGGCAAGGCUGGGGUCAUUAAAUAAAUUAUUAUUAUUAUUGUUGUUGUUAUUAUUAUUAUUAUUAUGUUUAUGUUUAUUAUUAAUUUUGUUCAUCACAUAUUUUUCAGUCUUUCCUGUGAGGUUUCUUCCGGUUUAGAAUAAAUGAGGAACAUGGGAUUAACCUUUAUCCCUUGGUUAUGGCUAUGGCUGGUUCACUGUAUAGUGUCUGGUUGAUGACAUGUAUUCAAAAUUGUCUGCAUAUUAUGUUUUUCUAUGUCAUUUUUAGAAGGACAGAGAAGGUGUGGUCUGUGUUUCUGCUAUAAAAGCUUGUUUUUCCUGCUUUGGAGACAAAGUUAAACGAGUAGGAAUGCUGUAGAGCUUUUUUUCAUGGUGAGGUUCUGAAAGAAAAACCUGGCAGGAGUACCCAGCUGACCACACUGAUCCUGCUUUACAGAGCAAAACUUAAUCGUCAGGAAGUCCUUGAGCAGUGAUGGCACAGUGUCCUGUCUGCACCUGCUCUUUCUGAGGUAAGCCCACAGCAAAGGACAGUGACUGGAGGGCUGUGCUGCAUCCCAACACAAUUCCUGCUCCAAAAGAUC
Parus major (Great Tit) is the source of this 1797-nucleotide long non-coding RNA. RefSeq lists it as uncharacterized. Lineage: Eukaryota; Metazoa; Chordata; Aves; Passeriformes; Paridae. The transcript is spliced from 3 exons. The record is from RefSeq and is a predicted model, not a curated record.